This is a non-coding RNA of Lizonia empirigonia, 92 nucleotides long. The record is from the annotation of a GenBank genome assembly. Lineage: Eukaryota; Fungi; Ascomycota; Dothideomycetes; Pseudoperisporiaceae.
GACACGAUGGCCGAGUGGUCUAAGGCGGUAGAUUUAAGUCCCGAAAAUCUCUACUACAGAAAUGUGCGUGGGUUCGAACCCCACUCGUGUCA